RNAcentral lists this long non-coding RNA (263 nucleotides) under Manihot esculenta (cassava). RNAcentral's name for it is "long non-coding RNA (MESC_LNC010715)". Lineage: Eukaryota; Viridiplantae; Streptophyta; Magnoliopsida; Malpighiales; Euphorbiaceae. The record is from RNAcentral.
CUGGAGAAGAUCCUGUGGCGGCCCUGGAUUUCUUCCGAGCAGGAGAUGGGGAAGAUGUUCCAGAAGGGGCUGGGCGCUUAUCCCCGGUCUUUAGUGGAAUGCCUUCAGAUCCCUCAGGCCCAGUCCCCACAGAGGCAGGGGCAUCUUGGGAAGGAACAUCUGGGAUUUGGUCCUCUAUGAGGAUGAUCUCCAUCCCUGUCCCAGAGGCCUCCUUGUCUUCAGUAACGGGGGACUUAGAUUUUCCCCCUGACACCCCUUCAGGA